CUCGGUGCCUGCUUUGGAGCUUUAUAACCCUAGGCUGCAGUUACUCUGUAAUCCACCCUUUGCGAUUCUGAGAGGCCCCAGACCGGAGCUAGUAAUCCCGAAUUUAUCUCUGCAAGCGAUUAAAGUUAACUCUGAUGAAAAACAUUGCCUUGCCUAAUUGAAAGAAGCCAGAGCUGGGAGAGUUUCCAUAACCCAUCCCUACUUGAGGGAUUUCAGACCGUGGUGAGCUGACUGCAUUGCUUUAAAUUUAUGUCAAGGCAGAAGCAUCAUGGAUGAAGGGUACAGGGAAGGAACGGCUACUCACGUACCUGAUGGACGUAAGGGAGCAAAGAGCUACUGGAAAGGUUAUGGCAACGGAGAAGGGGAAUGCAGCCCAUGGGAAUAGAGCGUCCAAGGAGAAAGCCAGGGGUAUGGUCAAAACAUGCAGAAAGCACAGGACUAAGAACUCGACUAACACACCUGGGAGAGCAAGCAUCGAGGGAAGCCAGAUGGCAUCUCAGCAGCCCAUCUUCCCACAGCACCUGUGCAGGCCACACUGAGAGUACCUGCUUGUUUGUUAGUUGUUUUGACAACUUGACACAAGGUAGAGUCAGCUGAGAAGAGGAGUCU
Molecule: non-coding RNA, 609 nt
Organism: Arvicanthis niloticus (Nile rat)
Lineage: Eukaryota; Metazoa; Chordata; Mammalia; Rodentia; Muridae
Source: RefSeq, a predicted model, not a curated record